GUUAAGGUUAAGGUUGUAGUUUAGGUUAUAGGUUAAGGUUUUAGGUCAUAGGUUUUGGUUUAGGUGUAGGUUAUAGGUUUAGGUUUAGGUUGAGGUUGAGGAUAAGGUUUUAGGUCAUAGGUUUAGGUUUAGGUUUAGGUAUCGGUUAUAGGUUAAGGUUUUAAGUCAUAGGUUUU
Long non-coding RNA from Magnolia sinica, 176 nucleotides. RefSeq lists it as uncharacterized. The transcript has 3 exons. Lineage: Eukaryota; Viridiplantae; Streptophyta; Magnoliopsida; Magnoliales; Magnoliaceae. The record is from RefSeq and is a predicted model, not a curated record.